Molecule: transfer RNA, 74 nt
Filed under: Bacteroidota bacterium
Lineage: Bacteria; Pseudomonadati; Bacteroidota
Also listed under: 1 other name
Description: tRNA-Arg
Rfam family: tRNA
About the family: Transfer RNA (tRNA) molecules are approximately 80 nucleotides in length. Their secondary structure includes four short double-helical elements and three loops (D, anti-codon, and T loops). Further hydrogen bonds mediate the characteristic L-shaped molecular structure. tRNAs have two regions of fundamental functional importance: the anti-codon, which is responsible for specific mRNA codon recognition, and the 3' end, to which the tRNAs corresponding amino acid is attached (by aminoacyl-tRNA synthetases). tRNAs cope with the degeneracy of the genetic code in two manners: having more than one tRNA (with a specific anti-codon) for a particular amino acid; and 'wobble' base-pairing, i.e. permitting non-standard base-pairing at the 3rd anti-codon position.
Source: RNAcentral
GCGCCCGUAGUUCAACUGGAUAGAACGUUGGAUUCCGGUUCCAAAGGCUGAGGGUUCAAGUCCUUCCGGGCGCG